Molecule: small nuclear RNA, 95 nt
Filed under: Monodon monoceros (narwhal)
Lineage: Eukaryota; Metazoa; Chordata; Mammalia; Artiodactyla; Monodontidae
Source: RNAcentral
GUGCUCGCUUCUGCAGUACAUACACUAAAAUUGGAAGAUUAGCAUGGCCCCCAUGCAAAGAGGACAUGCAAAUUUGUGAUGUGUUCCAUAUUUUU